Molecule: transfer RNA, 89 nt
Filed under: Patescibacteria group bacterium
Lineage: Bacteria
Description: tRNA-Ser
Rfam family: tRNA
About the family: Transfer RNA (tRNA) molecules are approximately 80 nucleotides in length. Their secondary structure includes four short double-helical elements and three loops (D, anti-codon, and T loops). Further hydrogen bonds mediate the characteristic L-shaped molecular structure. tRNAs have two regions of fundamental functional importance: the anti-codon, which is responsible for specific mRNA codon recognition, and the 3' end, to which the tRNAs corresponding amino acid is attached (by aminoacyl-tRNA synthetases). tRNAs cope with the degeneracy of the genetic code in two manners: having more than one tRNA (with a specific anti-codon) for a particular amino acid; and 'wobble' base-pairing, i.e. permitting non-standard base-pairing at the 3rd anti-codon position.
Source: RNAcentral
GGAAGGGUGGCUGAGCCCGGUUGAAAGCGCAGCACUCGAAAUGCUGUAGGGGGGCAACCCCCUCGCGAGUUCGAAUCUCGCCCCUUCCG